RNAcentral lists this transfer RNA (57 nucleotides) under Argas sp. San Antonio ARK-2022a. Its description in RNAcentral is "tRNA-Cys". The record is from RNAcentral. Lineage: Eukaryota; Metazoa; Arthropoda; Arachnida; Ixodida; Argasidae. RNAcentral also lists the same sequence under 1 other name.
GGUCUUAAAAUUAAAAUAUUAAAUUGCAAAUUUAAAAAAGAUUUACAUCUAAGACUU